AUUGUGCUUGCACGACUUCCCCCGGCCCCCGGCCUGUGGGCCCAGGUCCUGGGGUGAACCGAGCGCUCGCUCUUUCGUCAGACAGUAGCGCUCCAGCGGCUGCCCUUACUGUGUAGUAGCCAAAGCUGAGGGUGAUGACUGUGAACCAGAACAGACUGCCUCGCUGAAAAGUCACUUGGAACUCUUCUGUGGCAUCUGAAGCAGAUGGAUGAAGCCAAGAGGGCUGAGAGUAUCUUAGCACCUAGAAAUGGACAAGGCUGGUUAUUAGAACAAAGAUUUCGCAGGUGGUGAGUCUCAAAGGCGAAGCUGAAUGAUUUGAUAUUUCAUGAAAUUCAGAAAUAAUUUGGAGCUUUUCAAACCUGGGAUAUGGAAGAAACUGACGCUCCUGUUCUCUGGGAAGAGGCAAGAAUCUGCAUCAAAGAGCCCUGGAAGCAAUCAUGGCUCAGCUGUGACGCCUUUAGAACAUGAAGUCCUCCAAGAAGAUGCCAUAGGAAUGGUCUCCAUCCCAGGGCCUGGAGAGCAGCCAGAGACAAGGAGAGUGGCCCAGGAGGGCAGUGGCAGUCAGUGCUACACUGUGGCCUGUCAGUCUCAGAGCCAGGAUUUAAACACUGGAUCUCCCAUUGACCAGUCAUAAUGAAGUAAGAACAAGAAGACGGGGAAGAGGAAGUGUAAAACCGUGGCAUAAAUUUACCAAGGAUAAGCUGAGUGUACUUCAGCAGUCAUUUGCACAGAAUCCUUAUCCUAAUUUUACAACCAGGGAAAAACUGGCUGGACAGUCUCUUGUCCUGUGUUUGUAAUUGAUAACUGGUUUCAAAAUAAAAGCCAGACCACCACUUAGAGAGAGACACAGAAUGUUCGCUGCCAGGGAACUGCAUGAUUCCUCUGCCAAAGGCCACCCAUUUACAAGAAUCCAGGAAAACCAGGUGGAAUCUCCCAAUGAUGACCCUGAGCAGAACUUCUUGUACCCAGGAAGUUCUACUGGGUGGAGCUGGCCACUCUUCCGCGUAGACACAGGGGACUCCCAAUUAACACAAUGGCUCAAAUAACUGUAGCCUUAUGGAUUGAAAGGAAACUAAGCUGUGAUUUGGAGUAUCCAGGUGACACAGAAAAUGGCCCUUGUCGAUGUAGAUCAGCAUUAUUUCCUCAUCCUUCUGCAUCUCCUCCUCAGUAUUCUGAAAGGGACAAGCCUGAGAUGGGGGAAAGCAAGCACGCAAGGCCCUCCCCUUUGUGCUGUGUUCAUGGUGUGCGGGGAGAGAGGCAGCAGCAGGAGGAACAGAAAGGUUAUUUUCUUUACUGACUCUUUCAAGGACAUCAGCAGAAUGGUUUGGAAUGUCAUCAUGAGCAGCCUCAGCCUCAGAAUUACCAGGAGAAGCUGGUCUUCCAGGAUCAGGUUCUAAUGUAUAUGAGUCACAGGAUUUAGGGAAGCAGGCACUUUCCCUUCAGUCCCAGCAGCAUGGGUGAUGUUCCCAAGUAAUGGACAGUCCCUAUGCUCUCAGUUGUGGCACACACCUUGGCAAAUAGUGAUCAGAUCUCCACAAAUGCCUCUUGGGUAAGAUAUGCAGCAACAUAGCUGGCUGCAGAGCAACCCGGGUCCCAAAUCCAGCAGCUCUGGGAUGAGAAGUCUGCAAGUGUUUACUGCUGGGACCAGGACUGUUUCUAGGAAAUGGUGCUAGGCUUCAGAGAGCAUCAUCCACAGGUCAUCCCACAACCAUCCACACAGAAGCCUGAGGAAAAGGGCUCUGCAGAGCUUGCACAUAAAGAUGCUGAACUCAGGAAGGCUCUGUGAGCUGCUGGUCUCUUCUGGUAGGGCAGCAGUGUCCUGAGAAGGUGGAGCUAGAGUAUGGAGAACAAAACUUAACAAGCACCAAGGCAGGAAGCAAGGCAACCCCCAAAUGACAGCAGUUGCCAAAUCCAAAGCAAUCUACUUCAGAAGACAGAGGCUCUGCAUAGUCCCUGUCUCAGACAUUGUCUCCUACUUAGAAGAUACCUAACAACAGCACUGUGGGAGGCUGAGGCGGGUGGAUCACCAGGUCAGGAGAUUGAGACCAUCCUGGCUAACACGGUGAAACCACGUCUCUACUAAAAAAUACAGAAAAAAAUUAGCUGGCCGUGGCGGCGGGCACCUGUAGUCCCAACUAUUUGGGAGGCUGAGGCAGGAGAAUGGCCUGAACCUGGGAGGCAGAGCUUGCAGUGAGCCGAGAUCACGCCACUGCACUCCAGCCUGGGCAACAGAGUGAGACUCUGUCUCAAAAAAAGAGAAAAAAGAAGAUACCUAACAAGCAGUACAAGAAUAUGAAGGACCCCACUGCCCAGACUUUGUAUGGGGGGGUGUCUAAGGUGGCUACAGCAAAGCUGUCAUCUCCAUCCACCAGGACAGCAUCUCCAGCCAUGGUGUGUGGCCUGCUGGGACAGCAGCCAUGUGUCCUUUCACAGACAGCCCACCAAAGCUCUGACUGUGAAGGACAUCCCAACAUCAGCCUAGCCUGCAUACACUUAAGGCAUAGAAUCACCUGAGGCUUCUCCGUUGAAGACAGGGACACCCGAUGGAGUUGCAGCCCCAGCUUUGCACUGUAAAGAGCCCCAGGGGGCUUCUGUGCUGGAGCAGGUGUGCAGACCCCUCCCCACCCCCUUCACUGAGAGCUGCUCCCUGGAACCAGUGUUUUGACUGAGUCACCUCUGGACGUGGGCCCACAAGAUCUGAGGGUGCCCAGACGAGCAGUUGAAUGCCUGUGUUGACCUGAGUUUUUGGAAAAAAGCCCCAAACUUUGAAACAAUUUUCAUAAUUUUGAGCUUCAGGAUGUGGAAUCACUUCUCAAGUAUUCUGGAGUUCUGUCCAUCAGAGCGGGUCCUGCCAAUGCUGCCCUGUGCAGUGCUUCAGGCUGCAUCCCUCCCACUAGGGGGCGCCUUUCACAUAGUGGUGCCCGCCUUCUAGAGGAGCAACGUUUCCUGAACUGCAGGGUUCCCUCAGGUGCUUUGUGUAAAACACAUCCACUGCAUAGAAUUUGUGUUAUUUCCAUUUCGUUUUCUUGACAAUAUUUAGUUAAUUACAAAAUGAUGUAUGUUAUGAUAGUUUAAGCAAUACAGAGAGUAACCAAGCAAAA
Molecule: non-coding RNA, 3101 nt
Filed under: Pongo abelii (Sumatran orangutan)
Lineage: Eukaryota; Metazoa; Chordata; Mammalia; Primates; Hominidae
Source: RNAcentral